This 256-nucleotide ribosomal RNA is filed under the name uncultured bacterium. RNAcentral describes it as "partial 16S ribosomal RNA". It matches the Rfam family "Bacterial small subunit ribosomal RNA", at positions 524 to 776 of the family's 1533-position model. The record is from RNAcentral.
UACGUAGGGGGCAAGCGUUGUCCGGAAUCAUUGGGCGUAAAGAGCGUGUAGGCGGCUUGGCAAGUCUGGUGUGAAAUCUUGCGGCUCAACCGCAAGCGGUCACUGGAAACUGCCUCGCUAGAGUCCGGAAGAGGAGAGCGGAAUUCCUGGAUGUAGCGGUGGAAUGCGCAGAUAUCAGGAGGAACACCAAUGGCGAAGGCAGCUCGCUGGAACGGUACUGACGCUGGAGGCGACGAAAGCGUGGGGAGCGAACAGG